GACGAACGCUGGCGGCGUGCUUAACACAUGCAAGUCGAGCGGUAAGGCCCUUUCGGGGGUACACGAGCGGCGAACGGGUGAGUAACACAUGGGUGACCUGCCCUUAGCUCUGGGAUAAGCCUGGGAAACUGGGUCUAAUACCGGAUAUGACUCCAUGACGCAUGUUGUGGGGUGGAAAGCCUUGUGCGGCUAGGGAUGGGCCCGCGGCCUAUCAGCUUGUUGGUGGGGUGAUGGCCUACCAAGGCGACGACGGGUAGCCGGCCUGAGAGGGCGACCGGCCACACUGGGACUGAGACACGGCCCAGACUCCUACGGGAGGCAGCAGUGGGGAAUCUCGCGCAAUGGGCGAAAGCCUGACGCAGCGACGCCGCGUGAGGGAUGACGGCCUGGU
RNAcentral lists this ribosomal RNA (391 nucleotides) under uncultured bacterium. Its description in RNAcentral is "bacterial SSU rRNA". It matches the Rfam family "Bacterial small subunit ribosomal RNA", at positions 28 to 420 of the family's 1533-position model. The record is from RNAcentral.